Molecule: ribosomal RNA, 800 nt
Filed under: uncultured bacterium
Lineage: Bacteria
Description: bacterial SSU rRNA
Rfam family: Bacterial small subunit ribosomal RNA
Source: RNAcentral
AGAGUUUGAUUCUGGCUCAGGAUGAACGCUGGCGGCGUGCUUAACACAUGCAAGUCGAGCGAAGCGAUUUGACGGAAGUUUUCGGAUGGAAGUCAGAUUGACUGAGCGGCGGACGGGUGAGUAGCGCGUGGGUAACCUGCCUCAUACAGGGGGAUAACAGUUAGAAAUGACUGCUAAUACCGCAUAAGCGCACAGUGCCGCAUGGUACGGUGUGAAAAACUCCGGUGGUAUGAGAUGGACCCGCGUCUGAUUAGCUGGUUGGUGGGGUAACGGCCUACCAAGGCGACGAUCAGUAGCCGACCUGAGAGGGUGACCGGCCACAUUGGGACUGAGACACGGCCCAAACUCCUACGGGAGGCAGCAGUGGGGAAUAUUGCACAAUGGGGGAAACCCUGAUGCAGCAACGCCGCGUGAGUGAAGAAGUAUUUCGGUAUGUAAAGCUCUAUCAGCAGGGAAGAAAAUGACGGUACCUGACUAAGAAGCCCCGGCUAACUACGUGCCAGCAGCCGCGGUAAUACGUAGGGGGCAAGCGUUAUCCGGAUUUACUGGGUGUAAAGGGAGCGUAGACGGCGAGACAAGUCUGAAGUGAAAGCCCGGGGCUCAACCCCGCGGACUGCUUUGGAAACUGCCUUGCUGGAGUGUCGGAGAGGUAAGUGGAAUUCCUAGUGUAGCGGUGAAAUGCGUAGAUAUUAGGAGGAACACCAGUGGCGAAGGCGGCUUACUGGACGAUAACUGACGUUGAGGCUCGAAAGCGUGGGGAGCAAACAGGAUUAGAUACCCUGGUAGUCCACGCCGUAAAC